RNAcentral lists this ribosomal RNA (570 nucleotides) under uncultured bacterium. RNAcentral describes it as "partial 16S ribosomal RNA". It matches the Rfam family "Bacterial small subunit ribosomal RNA", at positions 355 to 921 of the family's 1533-position model. The record is from RNAcentral.
UGGGGAAUUUUGGACAAUGGGCGAAAGCCUGAUCCAGCAAUGCCGCGUGUGUGAAGAAGGCCUUCGGGUUGUAAAGCACUUUUGUCCGGAAAGAAAUCCUUGGCUCUAAUACAGUCGGGGGAUGACGGUACCGGAAGAAUAAGCACCGGCUAACUACGUGCCAGCAGCCGCGGUAAUACGUAGGGUGCAAGCGUUAAUCGGAAUUACUGGGCGUAAAGCGUGCGCAGGCGGUUUGCUAAGACCGAUGUGAAAUCCCCGGGCUCAACCUGGGACUGCAUGGUGACUGGCAGGCUAGAGUAUGGCAGAGGGGGGUAGAAUUCCACGUGUAGCAGUGAAAUGCGUAGAGAUGUGGAGGAAUACCGAUGGCGAAGGCAGCCCCUGGCCAAGUACUGACGCUCAUGCACGAAAGUGUGGGGAGCAAACNGGAUUAAUACCCUGGUAGUCCACGCCCUAAANGAUGUCAACUAGUUGUUGGGGAUUCAUUUUCCUUAGUAACGUAGCUAACGCGUGAAGUUGACCGCCUGGGGGAGUACGGUCGCAAGAUUAAAACUCAAAGAAUUGACGGGGUCA